GGAGAGGUGGCCGAGUGGCUUAAGGCGCUCGCCUGCUAAGCGAGUUGGGGUUAAUCACCCCUCGCGGGUUCGAAUCCCGUCCUCUCCG
Molecule: transfer RNA, 88 nt
Filed under: Rhodothalassium salexigens DSM 2132
Lineage: Bacteria; Pseudomonadati; Pseudomonadota; Alphaproteobacteria; Rhodothalassiales; Rhodothalassiaceae
Rfam family: tRNA
About the family: Transfer RNA (tRNA) molecules are approximately 80 nucleotides in length. Their secondary structure includes four short double-helical elements and three loops (D, anti-codon, and T loops). Further hydrogen bonds mediate the characteristic L-shaped molecular structure. tRNAs have two regions of fundamental functional importance: the anti-codon, which is responsible for specific mRNA codon recognition, and the 3' end, to which the tRNAs corresponding amino acid is attached (by aminoacyl-tRNA synthetases). tRNAs cope with the degeneracy of the genetic code in two manners: having more than one tRNA (with a specific anti-codon) for a particular amino acid; and 'wobble' base-pairing, i.e. permitting non-standard base-pairing at the 3rd anti-codon position.
Source: Rfam by way of RNAcentral